RNAcentral lists this ribosomal RNA (406 nucleotides) under uncultured bacterium. Its description in RNAcentral is "partial 16S ribosomal RNA". It matches the Rfam family "Bacterial small subunit ribosomal RNA", at positions 30 to 526 of the family's 1533-position model. The record is from RNAcentral.
AUUGAACGCUGGCGGCAGGCCUAACACAUGCAAGUCGAGCGAGCGGCGGACGGGUGAGUAAUGUCUGGGAAACUGCCUGAUGGAGGGGGAUAACUACUGGAAACGGUAGCUAAUACCGCAUACCAUCAGAUGUGCCCAGAUGGGAUUAGCUAGUAGGUGGGGUAACGGCUCACCUAGGCGACGAUCCCUAGCUGGUCUGAGAGGAUGACCAGCCACACUGGAACCGGGACACGGGCCCGGCUCCUACGGGAGGCAGCAGUGGGGAAUAUUUCACAAUGGGCGCAAGCCUGAUUCAGCCAUUGCGCGUGUGUGAAGAAGGGCUUCCGGUUGGAAAGUACUUUCCGCGGGGGGGCCGUACCCGCAGAAGAAGCACCGGCUAACUCCGUGCCAGCAGCCGCGGUAAUAC